CGGACGGGUGAGUAACGCGUGAGAACCUACCUUCAGAAUGGGGACAACAGUUGGAAACGACUGCUAAUACCCAAUGUGCCGAAAGGUGAAAGAUUUAUCGUCUGAAGAUGGGCUCGCGUCUGAUUAGCUAGAUGGUGGGGUAAGAGCCUACCAUGGCAACGAUCAGUAGCUGGUCUGAGAGGAUGAGCAGCCACACUGGGACUGAGACACGGCCCAGACUCCUACGGGAGGCAGCAGUGGGGAAUUUUCCGCAAUGGGCGAAAGCCUGACGGAGCAAUACCGCGUGAGGGAGGAAGGUCCUUGGAUUGUAAACCUCUUUUAUCAGGGAAGAAGUUCUGACGGUACCUGAUGAAUAAGCAUCGGCUAACUCCGUGCCAGCAGCCGCGGUAAUACGGAGGAUGCAAGCGUUAUCCGGAAUUAUUGGGCGUAAAGCGUCCGUAGGUGGUUAUGCAAGUCUGCCGUUAAAAAAUGGAGCUUAACUCCAUAGGAGCGGUGGAAACUGCAAGACUAGAGUACAGUAGGGGUAGCAGGAAUUCCCAGUGUAGCGGUGAAAUGCGUAGAUAUUGGGAAGAACAUCGGUGGCGAAAGCGUGCUACUGGGCUGAAACUGACACUGAGGGACGAAAGCUAGGGUAGCGAAAGGGAUUAGAUACCCCUGUAGUC
RNAcentral lists this ribosomal RNA (662 nucleotides) under Synechocystis sp. PCC 6803. RNAcentral describes it as "bacterial SSU rRNA". It matches the Rfam family "Bacterial small subunit ribosomal RNA", at positions 99 to 795 of the family's 1533-position model. Lineage: Bacteria; Bacillati; Cyanobacteriota; Cyanophyceae; Synechococcales; Merismopediaceae. The record is from RNAcentral.